GAUGAAGAACGUAGCGAAAUGCGAUACUUGGUGUGAAUUGCAGAAUCCCGUGAACCAUCGAGUCUUUGAACGCAAGUUGCGCCCGAAGCCAUUAGGCCGAGGGCACGCCUGCCUGGGCGUCACACGUCGUUGCCCCCCAUCUACUCCUUCGGGAUUGCGGGGGGCGGAUGAUGGCCUCCCGUGCGCCUCGUCGCGCGGUUGGCAUAAAUGCCAAGUCCUCGGCGACGCACGCCACGACAAUCGGUGGUUGCGAAACCUCGGUUGCCCGUCGUGUGCGGUCGUCGCGCAUCGAGGGCUCGAAAAAAUUGCCGGGCUCCGGCUCGGCUUUCAACGCGACCCCAGGUCAGGCGGGGUUACCCGCUGAAUUUAAGCAUAUCAAUAAGCGGAGGA
This 390-nucleotide unclassified non-coding RNA is filed under the name soil metagenome. RNAcentral describes it as "partial contains 5.8S ribosomal RNA, internal transcribed spacer 2, and large subunit ribosomal RNA". The stretch from base 1 to 122 matches the Rfam family "5.8S ribosomal RNA", at positions 35 to 154 of the family's 154-position model. The record is from RNAcentral.